Molecule: ribosomal RNA, 468 nt
Filed under: uncultured bacterium
Lineage: Bacteria
Description: partial 16S ribosomal RNA
Rfam family: Bacterial small subunit ribosomal RNA
Source: RNAcentral
GACGAACGCUGGCGGCGUGCUUAACACAUGCAAGUCGAACGGAAAGGCCCUGCUUUUGUGGGGUGCUCGAGUGGCGAACGGGUGAGUAACACGUGAGUAACCUGCCCUUGACUUUGGGAUAACUUCAGGAAACUGGGGCUAAUACCGGAUAGGAGCUCCUGCUGCAUGGUGGGGGUUGGAAAGUUUCGGCGGUUGGGGAUGGACUCGCGGCUUAUCAGCUUGUUGGUGGGGUAGUGGCGUACCAGGGCUUUGACGGGUAGCCGGCCUGAGAGGGUGACCGGCCACAUUGGGACUGAGAUACGGCCCAGACUCCUACGGGCGGCAGCAGUGGGGAAUAUUGCACAAUGGGCGGAAGCCUGAUGCAGCGACGCCGCGUGCGUGAUGACGGCCUUCGAGUUAUAAACCGCUUUCGCAUGUGACGAAGCGUGAGUGACGGUAAUGGGUAAAGAAGCACCGGCUAACUACGUG